Molecule: transfer RNA, 70 nt
Filed under: Sceloporus megalepidurus pictus (painted cursorial spiny lizard)
Lineage: Eukaryota; Metazoa; Chordata; Lepidosauria; Squamata; Phrynosomatidae
Description: tRNA-Tyr
Rfam family: tRNA
About the family: Transfer RNA (tRNA) molecules are approximately 80 nucleotides in length. Their secondary structure includes four short double-helical elements and three loops (D, anti-codon, and T loops). Further hydrogen bonds mediate the characteristic L-shaped molecular structure. tRNAs have two regions of fundamental functional importance: the anti-codon, which is responsible for specific mRNA codon recognition, and the 3' end, to which the tRNAs corresponding amino acid is attached (by aminoacyl-tRNA synthetases). tRNAs cope with the degeneracy of the genetic code in two manners: having more than one tRNA (with a specific anti-codon) for a particular amino acid; and 'wobble' base-pairing, i.e. permitting non-standard base-pairing at the 3rd anti-codon position.
Source: RNAcentral
GGUAAGAUGGCCGAGUGCUAGGCGGUAGGCUGUAGACCUACUUACAGGGGUUUGACUCCUCUUCUUACCA